Molecule: long non-coding RNA, 482 nt
Filed under: Eucalyptus grandis
Lineage: Eukaryota; Viridiplantae; Streptophyta; Magnoliopsida; Myrtales; Myrtaceae
Description: long non-coding RNA (EGRA_LNC003887)
Source: RNAcentral
GAACCAAAUGACUCUAAAUAUACUAUUUAUAAACCAAAUGAAAAAUUAGGGAGCCAUGCCAAAUCAUACAAACGACGUGCGGCAAAUAUGGACUUUGCACGUUAUUUGGAAGUUCCUCGUUGGAGUAUACUCAACAAUUGCUUCGAAAGUGCCCGUUGUAAUUAACAAGAGGAUUCCAAUUCCAUUUCUAAUCCAACCCUAAAAGCUGGCAACCCAGCCGUGGGUGAGGAGAGACAAGAAAUAAAUCCUUGUCCAUAUGCUCUCUCGAAACCUUCUUCGUAAAAACAAAAGGAAAAAACCCUGCUGGCCACGUGUCCCUCCCUGUAGCUCAAUCCGGCAACGAUUCAGGGUCGAAAUCGGAGUGGCCCGGACACGUGGCGCGAUUAAUCAUGGAGAUCAAUAGACGUUGGAAAAGUCGAAAUUUUGAUAGAUCGCGGAACGAAAGAGGCCAAGCACCAGCUUUCGAAAGAGGGGAGGGGAGG